Molecule: ribosomal RNA, 135 nt
Filed under: Cebus imitator (Panamanian white-faced capuchin)
Lineage: Eukaryota; Metazoa; Chordata; Mammalia; Primates; Cebidae
Source: RNAcentral
GAGUAUGGCCAUACCACCUUGAACGCGCCUGAUCUUGUCUGAUCUUGGAAGCUAAGCAGGGUCGUCUCUGACUAGUACUUGGAUGGGAGGAAUAGAUCUUGAAUUUUAUAAAGAGCACUCAGACAUCUGUUUUUA